CGAAAGCCUGACGGAGCAACGCCGCGUGUGGGAAGAAGGCCUUUGGGCUGUCAACCACUUUUCUCAGGGAAGAAGUUCUGACGGUACCUGAGGAAUCAGCCUCGGCUAACUCCGUGCCAGCAGCCGCGGUAAUACGGAGGAGGCAAGCGUUAUCCGGAAUUACUGGGCGUAAAGCGUCCGUAGGGGGCUCGUCAAGUCUGCUGUCAAAGCUCGGAGCUCAACUCCGACCCGGCAGUGGAAACUGGGGAGCUAGAGGGCGGCAGGGGCAGAGGGAAUUCCCAGUGUAGCGGUGAGAUGCGUAGAUAUUGGGAAGAACACCGGUGGCGAAAGCGCUUUGCUGGACCGAACCUGACGCUGAGGGACGAAAGCUAAGGUAGCG
RNAcentral lists this ribosomal RNA (379 nucleotides) under uncultured cyanobacterium. Its description in RNAcentral is "bacterial SSU rRNA". It matches the Rfam family "Bacterial small subunit ribosomal RNA", at positions 376 to 770 of the family's 1533-position model. Lineage: Bacteria; Bacillati; Cyanobacteriota. The record is from RNAcentral.